This 207-nucleotide ribosomal RNA is filed under the name uncultured bacterium. RNAcentral's name for it is "partial 16S ribosomal RNA". It matches the Rfam family "Bacterial small subunit ribosomal RNA", at positions 568 to 774 of the family's 1533-position model. The record is from RNAcentral.
CGCGCAGGCGGUUUCUUAAGUCUGAUGUGAAAGCCCCCGGCUCAACCGGGGAGGGUCAUUGGAAACUGGGAAACUUGAGUGCAGAAGAGGAAAGUGGAAUUCCAAGUGUAGCGGUGAAAUGCGUAGAGAUUUGGAGGAACACCAGUGGCGAAGGCGACUUUCUGGUCUGUAACUGACGCUGAGGCGCGAAAGCGUGGGGAGCAAACA